This 33470-nucleotide long non-coding RNA is filed under the name Musa acuminata (dwarf banana). RNAcentral's name for it is "long non-coding RNA (MACU_LNC004651)". The record is from RNAcentral. Lineage: Eukaryota; Viridiplantae; Streptophyta; Magnoliopsida; Zingiberales; Musaceae.
CAUUCCUACGUCGUUCCCAAUGAUGAGGAUGUCAUCCACAUAUAACACCAAAAAAAAGUGAUAGUGCUUCCACUUACCUUUCUGUACACACAAGGCUCAUCUUCGUUCUUAACGAAUUCAUAAGAUCUGAUUGCCUCAUCAAAUCUUAUGUUCCAACUUCGGGAAGCUUGCUUUAGUCCAUAAAUGGAUCUAAGCAACCUACACACCUUAUCUGGGCAGUUCUUGGACACGAAUCCCUUAGGUUGCAUCAUAUACACCUCCUCCUCGAGGUUCCCGUUGAGGAAUGCGGUUUUCACAUCCAUCUGCCAGAUCUCAUAAUCAUAGUGUGCUGUAAUAGCCAAUAGAAUUCUGAUAGAUUUUAGGAUUGCUACGGGUGAGAAGGUUUCGUCAUAGUCAACACCUUGCCUUUGACGAUACCCCUUAGCCACUAGCCUUGCUUUAUAGGUCUCUACCUUUCCAUCUACUCCGAUCUUUUUCUUAAAGAUCCACUUGCAACCGAUGGGUACAAUACCUUCGGGCGCAUCAACUAGGUUUCAAACCUUAUUGGAGUACAUAGAAUCCAUCUUAGAAUUCAUGGCUUCUUGCCACUUCCCGAAGUCUAUACUCAUAAUAGCCUCCUCGUAGGUCUGAGGAUCAAUAUCCUCAACAUCCUCUCCUCUAAUAUGUCCCACAUAUCUCUCAGGAGGAUGAGAUACUCUAUCAAACCUGCAUAAAGUUGAAACUUAUGUAUUAGGUACCUGAACAGACUCGGGCUGUAGAGUGGUGCUUGAGCUUGGUUCUCCAACCUCGCUCAACUCUAUCAUUCUCCCACUAUCUCCGCUAAGAAUGUGUUCCUUCUCAAGCUUCUCAAGGAACACUGCUCUCUUAGCUACAAAGACCUUUUGGUCCUCGAGAUGAUAGAAAUAAUACCCAUAAGUUUCCUUGGGGUAUCCCACAAAUUUGCAUCGCUCUGUCCUUGAUUCUAACUUAUCGGGGUUGUGUCUUUUAACAUGGGCAAGGCAGCCCCAAAUCUUAACAACCUUAAGAUCAGGCUUCUUCCCUUUCCAUAUCUCAUAUGGUGUAGACACUACCGACUCAGUUAGAACUCUGUUCAGAAGGUAAGCUACGAUAUCUAGGGCAUAUCCCUAGAAUAAGAUGGGUAGGUCAGCGAAACUCAUCAUGGACCGUACCAUAUCUAAUAACGUACGAUUUCUCCUUUCAGAGACACCAUUGAGCUGAGGUGUAUAAGGAGGUGUCCAUUGGGAUAAUAUCUCAUGGUCCUUGAGGAACUGAGUAAAAUUUGUACUUAAGUAUUCACCUCCUCGAUCUGAUCGAAGAGUUUUGAUACUCUUUCCAGUCUGGUUCUCCACCUCAUUCUUAUACUCUCUGAAUUUCUCAAAGGCCUCGGACUUGUACUUCAUUAAGUACACAUAUCUAUACCUUGAGAAAUCAUCAGUAAAUGUAAUGAAGUAGGAGUAACCUCCAAUGGCAUAAGUUGACAUAGGUCCACAUACAUCACUAUGUAUGAGUUCCAACAACUCAGUGGCUCUCUCUCCAGUUCCACUAAAUGGAGAGUUGGUCAGUUUUUCACGAAGGCAAGACUCGCAAGUUGCAUAUGACACAUAGUCGAAUGGAUCUAGAUAUCAAUAAUUUAGCAACUUUUGAAUCAUUCCCUCAUGGAUAUGACCUAGCCUACAAUGUCAUAGGUAUGCACUGUUCACCUCAUCUCGUUUCCUUUUAGACACUUACAUUCAUGAUAUGUGGAGUAGUGUCUUGCAUAAAUAAACCUUUAUGCAAUAUUCCUCUCGUCAAUCUCCCCUCGGCUUUGCUAGAAUUUACAAUAAAUUGUAGAUGUGAUGAAAAUACUGGUAUCCAAUACCAAUGCACUAUCACAAAAAUGUGCCAAUAGGAGAUUGAUCAUGAAUGUACCUGAAGCUUCUCUAAGCUUCUAUUUCGUCCUUUCUGCAAGGUACUCUUUGCAGUUCCUCUUCCAGUGCCCAUCUUUACCACAGUGGAAGCACUGGCCUUUGUCCUUUGCUGGGUCUUUCUUAGCAACCUUUGCUUUACCUGGUUUGCCCUUGCCCUUUCCCUUCUUAAGAGACCUUUCUGCUUUCCUUUUCUUUUUGGUCUCACCAGUGUAGAGAACUGGCUUCUCUUUCUUAAUAGUACUCUCUGCCUCCCUCAACAUAUUGAGGAGCUCUAGGAGAGUCACCUCAAGAUUGUUCAUAUUAAAAUUCAUUAUGAACUGAGAAAAAGAAUCUGGUAGGGACUGAAGCAUAAUGUCCACACACAAGUUAUCCUCUAGGACCAUUCCUAGACUUGUGAGUUUCUCUAUCCACUUAAUCAUCUUUAGGACAUGGUUCUGAACCAGUGUCCCCUUAGUCAUCCUAGCGCGGAAGAGGCUCUUGGAUAUCUCAUAUCGCUGAGUUCUUCCCUGUUCCUCAAACAAUUUGCGGACAUGUAGGAGAAUGGAUCUGGCAUCCAUCUUUUCAUGUUGUCUCUGUAACUCAGGAGUCAUAGAGCCCAACAUAUAGCACUGAGCAAGAGUGGAGUCAUCAAUGUACUUCACGUAGCAAGCGAUCUCAUCCUCGCUUGCCCCUUCUUCGGGCGUAGGCAUCACUGUAUCAAGGACCAGUGAGGCGGUUGACAUCAAGUAUGCCACGUAAGGGAUUUGAAAGCGACAUUUUCUGAAAAUAAAGAUGCAACAGAAAUAAAUAACAUGCAUAUUUUGCAAGAAAUAAACUAUCAAGAUAUGGACUUCUAUCUUAAUAUGCUCCCACUAUUUUACUAACGAGUCACGCAACACCCUUAGCACGUGAAACGGAAGUCUCCGGCAGACUUCUAGUGGGGAUCAGGAUCCAAUCAGCGUCUUAGUGUAACCUCGAGGGACUCGACCAAUUACACUAAGCCUAAAAGGUAGGCAACUCUUGCAGAUCACAACUCUUUGUGAUUCCCGUCCUGUUCGACCUCCGAAUCACCAUGGCCUCGAGGGACUCGACCAACCAUGAUGCUCGGUUAAGUCAACACCUUCGUUACAAGAUGAGUCUGAUUUGAUGAUAUACCCUCGAGGGACUCGACCAACCAUGAUGCUCGGUUAAGUCAACACCUUCGUUACAAGAUGAGUCUGAUUUGAUGAUAUACCCUCGAGGGACUCGACCAAGCAUACCAUGCCCUCAGGUCACCGAUGACAUCUCUAUGUCAUAAGCAAGAUAGCGAAUCGCGAUAUAGGUGAGUCUCGAGGGACUCGACCAACUCAACCUACACCGGGAAUCGGUUCCUACUUAUAACGAUGGAAGGCCACGUGGGUCAAUCUAAUUGCCUCACGUUUACCGACUUAAUAUUAUCGAGAGAUGUUUCUAUGAUUUGGUCUCCUAAUAUGACAUGUCACACAUAUACAUAUUUAAUAUAUAUCUACAUCGUAUGCAAAUAUAUAUACAUAUCUAGUAUGUGUAUAACUGUCUUUUGCCCAGAAAACCCUAAUGCCCUACUACCCUUCGCUGCUGCCGCCACCCUGCUGGCGGCGGCCNNNNNNNNNNNNNNNNNNNNCUGCCCCUGCAGGUUGGCGCCCCUACGGGCGCCGCCGCCUCCGCGGGCGGUUCUGCCCGCGGGGCAACGCCCGCAGGCGGUGUUGUCCCAACGGGCGGCCGCCCCUGCUGCCCGCGGGCUGCCAGCCCCACCGGACGCAAGCCUGCUGCAAGCAGGCCGUCGGCCGGCUGCUGUAGACCUAGCCCCUGUGCUGCUAGCUUGCGGCUGCGCUGCACGAACGCAGAUCGAGGGCAGCAACUAUUGCUGCCCUUUCUCGCUGCGUCAACGAUUUUGACAUCAAAAUUUUUCCUAAACACAACACACAUAGUUCAAAACCAAUCAUUCGCACGAACAACCUGGCUCUGAUACCACUGUUGGAAAAUCAUUGGGGGCGACAUCACAUACGCAACGGAAGAACAAGAAAACAAAAUCCCCGAUUCCCAAAAAGAUGUUCGUCGUCGUGCGAAGAUUAGUGCGCAAAAUCCGCGAAACUCAAACUGCAUAUAGAGUAGAUUGUGUUACCUAGGGAGAUCGUAUAUCCCUGUUUCCUUGCAGAUCCUUAGGAGAUGGUGAAGGAGGUCAAGCGUCCUCCUCUCUAGCGGUGAUCCACACAGCAGGUCGUGAGUCAUACCCUAAUGGGUAUUGGAUCUGCAUCCAAUAAGACAAGGGCUCCGUCGGAUAUCUCAUUUCCGAACCUCUACUCAUCGCAAUGCCUACCAUAUGUGUGUGACCCUCUAGGCCCAAUAUCGAGCUGGCCGUGAGUCAUACCUAUCAGAACUCCUUCUAACUCAGUGAAUUAUUAUCUCUGUAAUAAUUCACUCGACUCAUCGACUACGGACGUACUAGACCACUAUGUCGUAGUCCCCAGACGAUACAAGGGAAUCCAAUCCAUUGGACAUGUUUGUCCUCAGUUACCGUGUACCUAUAGUCCCUCAUCCAUCUAAUAUCCCAGAGACCGUAUAUCGAGCAUGGUGUUGUCAGACCCAUACGGUUUCUACUCGAGUCUCGCUCUAAUCGGAUUCUCCUGGAGAACUCUUUCUCUCUAAACCCGAAUGACCUUGGCCAGGGAUUUGUCUGAGCAAGAACAUAUGAGAUAUUCCUCUCAUGACGCCGAGAGUGGAUGAUCCUCUAUCGACACUCAAUAGCCCUCGUAAGGUCGACUACCACUCCCAAUGACCAGCUGUACUAGAUCUGGGACAGCCAAACCUAUAAGUCUGAUAUCUAAGAGUAGAGCACUCAUACAGGACAUCCUUGGUGACUCAAGUCUAAGGACCAGAUAUACCACUAGGACUACGGAAUCGCUGUCUGACAAUAAGGCAUCAUCAACCAUUCAGCAUUCCGUAAGCGGAUCAAUCAGUGAACUCAUUCUCCAAUGAGCACCUGUACUGUAUCCAUAGUGUCCCUACACGAGCAGCUAUGAGACCAGCUGCAUCCAUCAUAUGGACGGGUAUAUAGUACACCAGUCUGUCCGGUUAUCACGAUGUCCCUCUCGAGUAACCUAUGACCGGGAUUAUUUAGGAUAUGUGUUUAAAGGUGAAUCGAUCUCAUUAUCGUGAUCUCAUCACGAUCUGAUUCCUAUUGCACAAAUCGAAGGACAUCACAAUAUAUAUAUGCAUUUAUGCAAUACUUAUAAAGUGAUAUACGCCAAAAUAUAAUAAUAAAAAAGAUUCUGUAUCAAGUUACACGUGUCAUCACUCACGUGAUUGGCUUGCUGGGCACCUAUGACUAACAUAAACUAAUGCUGAGAUGGUAUUACACGAACCGCAUCAGGAUCAUGAGCACACUUAGUGUAUCUUCAAUCUAUUCUAAGAUAGCCUCUCGUUUUUACCUUCUUUUACUGAUGGAAAAAAAAAUUAUGUUGUUCACAGGGAAAUAGUUAUGCCAAUUAAUUGGCAAAUAGGGUUAGAUUAUGCCGAGAUUUUUUUUUUUUUUUUUUUUGUCCUUUCUUUUAGGUUUGGCCUGAGGCUUGGACCUUCUUCCGAGUGCUGAUUCCCUGCGCACGGGUAAUGUUUGACAUUUAAUGCAUUCAAAGUUUUUCAUUUCUGAAAAAAAGAAGAGAAUACUGUUUAGCAAGCAAAUAUAUUGGACCAACAUAUUCAUUGUGCCAAAGACGGAGAUCACCGAGUAGGCAAUUUUUAUGGAGAGGCAAUGAGGUGAGUCUCUCUUAGUUAAGUUGGGAAAUAGUUCGCAAAUGUCUCUGUUUGGAAUGAGGUUGUAGUAAUGAAACAGAUCUGCUGCAUUUUGACAAAUAUUAACUCACUGUAGGUCUAUUCGGUUUAAGCUAUGAGAUUAAAAGUCCAAUUGGAACAUCAGCCCCCUGCAUAACACACUAUCUACCGCAUGAGGAAAAUAUGAAGCAUCAGAGAGAUUUCUAUAUGGGUUGUCAAUUGUCCAGGAAGCUGAGAUUUUAGAUAAUUCUGUCUACUAACUUCAUUAUAUAUGAUGAUUGGUUUUUGUCCAUGUUAUAAUGACAAAGUGUUGCAGGAUUAUGGGAGAAGAUUAUAAAAUAUCCCAUAUAUAAUGACAAAGAGUUGCAGGAUUAUUGAUGAAGUGGUGUGGUCGUCUAAUAACUCUGCUAAAUUUUGUCCUACUAAGGUCGGACAGUGAUAGAAAGAAAAGGAGCCAACAUUAUGAUGGCACUCUAAAUGACAAGAUGCUGAAACAUUCGUGUCGUGUGCUACGUAAGAUAGAAAAUAAGAAUGAAGAACAUAUAUUGUUUAAAUAUAAUUUCAGAAGUAUAACUUAUGGGAAGAUUUUGUCUUACAGAUGACAUCAGAGUCCCAACCAAGUCAUUGGACAAUUAGAUUGAGUGGUUGAAACGUAUUGCUAAUGGGAAAAACAGUAAAGGAAUAAAUUUUAGUAGCCUCAUAGACUUAUGUAAAUUAAUCUUUGUUGCCUAAGAUUCUUGCUAAUCAGUUUAAAAUUAAAUUCGAUUAUCUUAUUGAACGGAACAUGAACAAUCAAUCUUUGUCAUUUUAAUAUUCAUCAUAAUAUCCUAAUACCUAAUAAGUAUUUCUAUGGGAUGGCUAAAUCCAAGAGUAAUGUUAUCUUGAAGUUAGAUCUUAUGAGAGUCUUUGACAGUGUUAAAAUUGGAAUGCUAUCAUAAAAAUUCUUAGACUGGUAGAUUUUUUCCCCCUUCAAUUCAUCUCCCGAAUUGAAGCUUAUAAUUCGUAUCUCUUUCUUGCUUAUCUUAUUAACGGUUGUAUAUCUAAGUUAUUUAUAAGGAUAUUAGACAGGAAGAUCCCUGUCUCCUUACGUAUUUAUAUUGACUGGUCCAGCAUAUUCCUUUUUAAACAUUUUUUUAUAUGAUGGUUGAGAAUAAAAGUAGCUGCUCUUUCAAUAUUAGAAGAAAUAUUAUCACGUAUACUGAUGGUUUGUUGGGUGCCUUUGGAGCUAAUAAGAAGCUAUGUAGGGACAUCUUUAAAACCUAGAUAAGUUCAAUAUCCAUUGUCCCAAAACGUGUUGCCCUUGCAUCAACACUAAGUUUGUGAGGAUUUGGGCAUCAAGGAAAGGAGUUGAUCUUUUAAUCAUCCAGGGUACCUAUCUAGGAUUCGGCUAGUAUAAGGGGUUGAUUAAAAGUUUAUUGAGGGACUUUCUUAUGGUCAAGAAAACCAAUUAAACCUUUAACCCUCUUAUUAGACUAUAAUGUAAUCAAAAUUUUAAUUUGGGAAUGAUUUUUAUUUUCUUUCUUGUUAAUAAAAUUGUAAAAAUAACAUUCAAUAUUCAGGUAAGAUGAUAUUUUUGAAAAUAAUCUUAUCUUAUGAGGGCUCACUUCCUCUUAUUUAAGGGGAGGAAUGAGAAGUUGUAUCCGAUUAGAGAGAUAGUUUUCUCCAUUUUUAUUGAAAAAUAAAAUUUUCUUUAAUUAUUUAAAAUAUUUAAUUUUUUUAGAUUAAAAUAUAUUAUAAUUAUUCAUGUUAUAUGUACUUCUAAAAUAUUCUUUUAUUUUCUUAAAUAUCUAAAAUUUUAUUAUUAGAUUAGAAUAUGUUAUAAUUGUUCAUGUUAUAUGAAGUUUCUAAUUUUUUUUAUCCCUUUAAAGGUCUCAAAUUUUAUUUUGAGAUUAAAAUAUAUUAUAAUUAUUCAUGCCAUAUGUAAUUUCUAAAAAUUUUUAUCUUGGAUGCAUGAUAUUAUAUUUCUAUUAAAUUUAUACAAUUCUUAUUAAGAAUAAUAUUUCCUUCUUAUGUAAUUUUAUCUUUUUAAUUUACUAUUAUUUAUUAUAUUUUAAUGACUCAAUGCCAAAUGAAUAAAUAUUUUAAUUAUAAUUUCACGAUAUAAAAUUUUGAAAUUAAGAGAAUUGAUUAGAAUUUAGGUUAAAAUCAGCUAUUAGGCUAGGCCUAGCUCGCAAGCUUGGUUGUAUAGCCUAUAGACUAAGCCCAGUCGAUAGGCCAAGCUCAACCAUCAAGUGAGACUUGACCAGCAACUCAAGCCCUAACCCAUAAGCUAGCUUAACCCAACUGAACACGGGCAGUCAUAUGCGAAGUACAUGACCAAUUCAUGGGUUAUGGGCUGACCCAAUCUAAUAUAAUGCAUGCACAAUCAUAUAUAAUGCACGUGACCAAUAUAUAAAUUGACCAAACUUAGUCUAAUAUUAUAUGGUAUAACUAAUUGCUCUUAUUUUAUUUGAUUUGAGCUCAAAUAUUGAUUAAACUGAAUGAGAUUUGAUCAGUUUAGAUCGAUUAUGGAUGAUUCUAAAUCAAUUUGACUUAUUCAACUCUAUUUAACCUAAAUUGAAUCCAAUCUAGUCCAAAAUAUACUAGUUUAGGGUGAUUUGAGAUUGGCUAAAUAAGGAUUAGAGAUCGGUUAAACUAGGUUCUAAUUAAAUCGAAAUCAAUUGGACCGAUUGAGUUAGGGUUCAAGUCAAUUAAGGGAUAGUUGAUAUUAAUGAUAUUUGAAAGAUAAAUUAAGAUAUUUUAAUGUAUUAUUUCAUUUUGAUAUAGAUAUGACUAGUAUAAGAUGAUUUUGUUUCCUCGUCGAGGGUAGGUAGGAUAAUUCCCUUCGUGGAUUAAUAUGUCAUUAAACUUAGUGGUUAGACGGUUCCUCCAUCCAUUGAUGGGAGGAACAUGGUCCUACUUUGAUGGGUGAGAGACACUACUCCAUUCGCUGUUAAAAAUGUGAAAUGAGUUUAUCACCUUCUAUUGUUGGGAGAACAUAAACUCAUUUCAUAGGAUAAAACCUCUUUAUCCAUUGUUGGGGAGUGCUCAUUUUGGUAUUUGAUAUAUACUAGUGGGAUGAUUGACUUUCGGAUAUAUAUUUAUUUUAUAGUUGACUUAUAGGGGAUUCCUACUCAACAUUACUGAACUUUUUUCUUUUAUUUUUUAUUUUCAAAAUAGUUUCCCAAUAGCACUAGAUCAAAUUAGAGCAUAUCUUCCUCCUACUACUAGGUAGAUCUAGUUGGACCUCUAUUUUUGAGGGGACAAUACUAUGAUUCUCAAUAAAGCCCAUGACUACUUUUGAUUUAUAUUUGAUGAAUAAAUAAAAUAUAAUAAAUAUUUAUAAUUUAUGUAUAUUAAUAAAGUGAUGUGUAUUUACUUGGGUCUUGAUGCACUUGUGAAAAGAUAUUGUAAUCCUAUAAGAAACAAAAAUCUAGGAUAUGAUAGACUUUGAACUCAUAGCUCCCCUAAUUGGCAACACCUUCGAUAAGAUGUGAUUACCAAAUUUGAACUCUAGAUUUCUUCAUUUUCAAUCAGCAUAACUUUUAUGUCAACUUUGAAUUGUUAAUAAUAUUUGACGUAUAGCUUGAGCAUUAUUAUCAUCUAUUUUAAUCAAUUGAGAUCCUAAAAACUUCCAUAACUUCCAUUCUCCCACUUAUCCUAGUGCAUAUGAGAUCUAUGCUUUAUCAUAAUAUAUAGGUUGGUAAGUAUUUUAAGAGUUCUAAUUAGGUUCAAACCACUUGGAUGAGUCUUAAUUAAAUCCAAACUCCUAAAUGGAUUAGGAUUAUGAUUUAAAUUAUGAUUAAAUUAAAUCCAAAAUCCAAACUCCUAAUUAUGAUUUAUUUUUAUAAAUGCCAAGUAUCUUAAAGAGAUACUUUAGUCCUUAAUGAAUUAUGAUUUAUUCAUGGUAUCUUAAGAGAUAUUUGGUUCUCCUAAUAUUUUGGAUCCAAGAUCAUUGAGACAAAAUUUUUUUAAAUUUAUGUGAGAGAAUAUACAAAGGAUUUUGUGCUUGGGUUCAGGUCGAAGUGACUCCUUGCAUUAAUUUUUUUAGAGUCUUAUUUGUUUCACAUAUAUAAGAAAAAGAGUUAUCAAAUGAUGUUAAAUCUUACAUCAAUUUUUUAAUAUAUUUUUAAAUUAUUAAUCUUUGAAUAUAUAUAUAUAUAUAUAUAUAUAUAUAUAUAUAUAUAUAUAUAUAUAUAUAUAUAUAUAUAUAGUUUUUUUGCUGGUUCUCUCCCUCCUCCCAAGGUUCUAUAUAUAUGAUCGUCCUUGUUAUUUCAAUCCCAGUUUAAUUUUCAUUUUCUUUUGUUGGUUUAUACAUUUUGUGUCAGUCUCAUACGGGUUGGACUAGGCAACUUUUUUUUGGUAGAUCUUGAAAUGGUAUUGGGACAGAACCAGCAUCGGAACGGUCAGUUCUGAGCGAGGAGAGAUUUAAAUUAGUUAAUAUGAUUACUUUAUGGAUUGAUAAAUCUGAUAAAUAAGGCACAUAUGUGAUGGCAUGAUAGUCCAAUUUUCUAUUGAAUUAUAUUUAAUUUAAGAAGGGUAAUUAUAUUGUGUCGCUAGCUAGAUUAGUUGGUAACAUGUUCUGAUAGAUGGAAGAUGGCUCAUCGCGUGUCGUGGAUCACGGAAAGUGGAAACCAAACUAAAGUUGUGGCUCCCAUGAACCACUGCAAGUCGCUCAUUCUGGAUCGAGAACAAGUGAUUGUCGCGGCUCAAUGUCGCUGCUCAAAAACCAUUCUCCAGAUUAUAAGCGUUGUAAAUAUGUUCAUUUUUUUUUGUUUUUUUGGUCAAAAUUGUUAUCGACUGACUGAAACUGUGAUAGCAGAUAUUUUCUCAGGAAAUCUUUCUGUUGAGGAAAAUCCUCCCUCCUAAUCUGUAUAAAUAGGAGAAAGACAUAUUAAUGCAUUCAAGCUAAAACUUUUUCAAUAAAGCUUCUUCAAUAAUUCUUUUAUCUUCUAUUCUUUCUAUCAUGGUAUCAAAGCUUUCGCCGUAAAGGCCACUUCAUCGACCGUGACUCUAUCUCAAAGUAGUGCAGUGUCCUCCAAGAUCGUUGUGUCGGUCUCCUUCGAAGCUGAACAAGGGCCACCACGCCACACCCUCUUCUCCUCCCUGCGUCGGUGGCAUUCUUUACUGUUGCCCUUCCUCUACCUCUUCCUGCAAAAGCAGAGCCGACACAGUCUCGUAAUUGCUCCCGAGCCAGUGAUCUCUCAUCCUCGUUCCCACAUCUCGCUCGAGUGAGAAGUGUCGUUGCCUCCGACCUUGCCGCAGCAGCCCUCUCUGCCACAGUAGCUGCAGCAGCAGUGAUCUGCUCUUCUCCCAAGCUGUUAUCCUCUGCUACAGCAUUACUAUAGCUUUCUUUAUUGUUGUAGCUUUCUCCUCUACUGCAGUCGUCGUCGCAAUCGCCGUCGUCGUCAUCGUAGCCUCAGUAAUAGCAACAGCAGCAGUAGCGAUCUGCUCUUGCCCUACUCAUGAAGUCUUUGGCUCGUAAACUGUUUGCUUUGCAUUGAUCCAAGAUUGAUAUCCUUGACAGGAGCAUCAUCUUGCGGGGGCAUGAUAGCAUAUAAGAUUUCUACAACUAUAUGAGGAAAUCUCUCUAUUCUAUUGAGGGAAAUCCUCUAUUAUGUUAAAGAAAAUCCUCCUUCCUAAUCUGUAUAAAUAGAAGAGGGACAUGUUAAUGUAUUCAAGCUAAAGCUUCUUCAAUAAAGCUUUUUUAAUAAUAUUUCUUAUCUUCUAUUCUUUUAUCUUAUAUUCUUUCUAUCAUGGUAUCAGAGCUUUCGUCGUAAAGGUCACUUCUAAACAUCUCGAAGUAGACCCGUCUCCCCACGGGACACCACCGAAUCUUUGCUCCUUCUCCUACUGCCUCAUGGACCACGACUCCAUCUCAAAGUAGUGCAGCAUUUUCCACAGACGUCCUCCAAGAUCAUUGCAUCGGCCUCCUUCAAAGUUGAACAAGGGCCACCACGUUGUGCCCUCUUCUCCUCCCUGCGCCGUCCUCCCUGCGCCGACGGCAUUCUUUAAUGCCGCCCUUCCUCUGCCUCUUCUUGCAGAAGCAGAGUCGAUGUAGCCUCGCAACUGCUCCCUGGCUAGCGAUCUCUCAUACUCAUUCUCGCAUCUCGCUCGAGCGAGAAGUGCCUCUGCCGCCGUCCUUACCGUAGCAACCUGAUAAGACCCUAAAGUCUUAUCGUAGGCUCUGAUACCAAUUGAUAAGACCCUAAAGUCUUAUCGUGGAAGAAAGGGGAGAAAUGGGGAUGAUAAUGAUCGCUUCGAGGGGAUCGGCCUCCUUGAUCGCUUCGAGGGGAUCGGCCCUCCUUGAUCACUUUGAGGGGAUCGACCCUCCUUGAUCACUUCGAGGGGAUCGGCCUCCUAGGGUUUGUCCAAAGACAGAAUAGUAUUUUUCAUAGAUUACCGAAAAGAAGUAGUUACAUCCCUAUUUAUAGAGUAUACCGAAAAGAAGUAGUUACAUCCCUAUUUAUAGAGUUCCACCCAAGGUCCAUCAGGACUUGAACUCUAAUAAUAAAUAAAUAUUAAAUAAACCUCUACUUGACUCUAACUGAACUAAACCGACUCAAUAAACAACUGGACUAAACAAACUCAAUAAACAUUAUUCAAAAGCUCAGAAAAAGGUUCCUAACAGUUCCUCCCUCUUCAAAUCAGCCUUGUCCUCAAGGCUGAGCAGCAUCAAUCUCAGGGAGCUUCUCUUUCAGCACUUUAGCCAUAGACUAUCUGCAACGCAUCACAACUUGUUGAUCAAGUAAGUAUGGUCUCCACUUUUUGAGAGUGUAAGCAACAGGUUGAUCUUUCAGUGUAGUAAUCGUUGCAUGAAACUUCUGGCCCUGUAUAAUCAAUUUUAUCUUUGAACCUUUGCUAUCACAAGUGAAAAUCCGUCCAUCAAUGAUCUUUACUUCGAAUCUGUCAUAGUCUUCAAUGUGGUGGGCCAAUCGGUCAACAGUCUCACUGUCCAUAGAAUUGUUAGUGAUNNNNNNNNNNNNNNNNNNNNNNNNNNNNNNNNNNNNNNNNNNNNNNNNNNNNNNNNNNNNNNNNNNNNNNNNNNNNNNNNNNNNNNNNNNNNNNNNNNNNNNNNNNNNNNNNNNNNNNNNNNNNNNNNNNNNNNNNNNNNNNNNNNNNNNNNNNNNNNNNNNNNNNNNNNNNNNNNNNNNNNNNNNNNNNNNNNNNNNNNNNNNNNNNNNNNNNNNNNNNNNNNNNNNNNNNNNNNNNNNNNNNNNNNNNNNNNNNNNNNNNNNNNNNNNNNNNNNNNNNNNNNNNNNNNNNNNNNNNNNNNNNNNNNNNNNNNNNNNNNNNNNNNNNNNNNNNNNNNNNNNNNNNNNNNNNNNNNNNNNNNNNNNNNNNNNNNNNNNNNNNNNNNNNNNNNNNNNNNNNNNNNNNNNNNNNNNNNNNNNNNNNNNNNNNNNNNNNNNNNNNNNNNNNNNNNNNNNNNNNNNNNNNNNNNNNNNNNNNNNNNNNNNNNNNNNNNNNNNNNNNNNNNNNNNNNNNNNNNNNNNNNNNNNNNNNNNNNNNNNNNNNNNNNNNNNNNNNNNNNNNNNNNNNNNNNNNNNNNNNNNNNNNNNNNNNNNNNNNNNNNNNNNNNNNNNNNNNNNNNNNNNNNNNNNNNNNNNNNNNNNNNNNNNNNNNNNNNNNNNNNNNNNNNNNNNNNNNNNNNNNNNNNNNNNNNNNNNNNNNNNNNNNNNNNNNNNNNNNNNNNNNNNNNNNNNNNNNNNNNNNNNNNNNNNNNNNNNNNNNNNNNNNNNNNNNNNNNNNNNNNNNNNNNNNNNNNNNNNNNNNNNNNNNNNNNNNNNNNNNNNNNGCCUUAUUUUUUUUUCUUUUGUUACGUUGCAGCGAGAACGCCGAGGGAGGAUCGUAGGCUCUGAUACCAAAUGAUAAGACCCUAAAGUCUUAUCGUAGGCUCUGAUACCAAUUGAUAAGACCCUAAAGUCUUAUCGUGGAAGAAAUGGGGACUCCUUGAUCACUUCGAGGGGAUCGACCCUCCUUGAUCACUUCGAGGGGAUCGGCCUCCUAAGGUUUGUCCAAAGACAGAAUAGUAUUUUUUAUAGAUUACCGAAAAGAAGUAGUUACAUCCCUAUUUAUAGAGUUCCACCCAAGGUCCAUCAGGACUUGAACUCUAAUAAUAAAUAAAUAUUAAAUAAACCUCUACUUGAUUCUAAUUGAACUAAACCGACUCAAUAAACAACUGGACUAAACAGACUCAAUAAACAUUAUUCAAAAGCUCAGAAAAAGGUUCCUAACACAACCCUCUCUGCCACAGCAGCAGCAGUAGCAGCAGCAACAGUGAUAUGCUCUUCUCCCAAGCUACUGUAAUUUGCUAUAGCUUUCUCUAUUGCUGUAGCUUUCUCCACUAUUGUAGUCGCCGUCGCAGCCACUGCCAUUGUCAUCAUAGCCGCAGCAAUAGCAACAACAACAGUAGCGAUCUGCUCUUGCCUUACUCACGAAGUCUCUAGCUCGUAAACUGUUUGCUUUGCAUCAAUCCAAGAUUAGUAUCCUUGACAUGAGCACUCUCUUGUGGGGGCAUGAUAGUAGAUAUGAUUUCCCCAACUACAUAAGAAAAUCUCUCUAUUAUGUUGAGGGAAAUCCUCCCUCCUAAUCUGUAUAAAUAGGAGAGGGACAUGUUAAUGCAUUCAAGUUAAAUCUUCUUCAAUAAAGCUUCUUCAAUAAUUCUUAUCUUCUAUUCUUUCUAUCAUGGUAUCAAAGCUUUCACAGUAAAGGCCACUUCUAAACAUCUCGAAGUAGACCCUUUUCCCAGCCGGACUCCAUCGAAUCUCGGCUCCUUCUCCUAUUGCCUCGUGGACCAUGACUCCAUCUUAAAGUAGUGCAGCAUUUUCCACGGACGUCCUCUAAGAUCGUUGCGUCAGCCUCCUUCGAAGCUGAACAAGGGUCACCACGCCGCGCCCUCUUCUCCUCCCUGCGCCACCGGCAUUCUUUUCUGCCGCCCUUCCUCUCCCUCUUCCUGCAGAAGCAGAGCCGACGCAGCCUCGCAAUUGCUCCCUAGCCAACGAUCUCUCCUCCUCGUUCCCGCAUCUCGCUCGAGCGAGAAGUGCCGUUGUCGUCGUCCUUACCGCAGCAGCCCUCUCUGCCACAACAGCUAUAGCAGUAGUGAUCUGCUUUUCUCCCAAGCUGUUGUCCUCUACUAUAGCUUUCUCUAUUGUUGUAGCUUUCUCCUCUGCUGUAGUCGUCGUCGCCAUCGCAACCGUCGCCGUCGUCGUCGUAGUCGCAUCAAUAGCAAUAGCAGCAACGAUUUACUCUUGCCCUACUCACGAAGUCUCUGGCUCGUAAACUAUUUGAUUUGCAUCGAUCCAAGAUUGGUAUCCUUGAUAGGAGCACCAUCUUACGGGGGCCAUGAUAGCAGAUUCUGUUAAGAAAAAUCUUCUAUUAUGUUGAGGAAAAUCCUCCAUCCUAAUUUAUAUAAAUAGGAAAAGGACAUGUUAAUGUAUUCGCUAAAGCUUUUUCAAUAAAAUUUCUUAAAUAAAACUUAAAGCUUCUUCAAUAAUUCUUAAUAUCUUCUAUUCUCUUAUCUUAUAUUCUUAUAUUCUUUCUAUUUCGAACUAUGAUUGUUCUGAAGAAUUUCAAUUUUAAUUUUAAUUUUAAUUUUUUUUUCCGAUUAAGCUAAUUACAAACAGGUAUAAAAAGAAUAUGUCAAUAAUGUACUUCUUUUCCUGCUUAUCCAGUAGGAAUGAUAAUAGGAAAGUAUCAUCAAGAAUAACCCUUUUACAGCAAGUGGCCCUCGGAACCCGAGUAUCACCACCAUUCGUCGGCUUUGACUCUUCCAACAAUGGUACAUGAUUGUUGGCUAUUUCCGAUGGGAAUGGUUCCUUCCUCAUCCAGUCUCGUUCGAUGGCGCAUCGUCUUCCUUGUCUUGAAGUUGAAGGCAAGUAUCACAAGUACGAUGGAGACGACCAUAACAGCGGCGCCUGCGUAGACGCCGUCAUGAACUAUGUAGCAGUCGCCGUUCAUCCAGCCUUUUCCGUAUGACUGUCCGCCGUCCAUGCUCGAUGCAAUGGCCAGUAUGAUCGAUGCCAGAGCGUAGAUGAUCCUACAGCAUAAUUCGUGUGAUUCCGUCUGAAUUUUCAAACCCGCUUCACAUGGUGAUUGAUGCAGCCAACUAAAAAUAGCCAACUAAGGACAGCGUCGUCACCGUGGGGAGGUGCUUAAUUAAUUACAUACAUACAUACAUACAUACCAGGCAAGACAUAGCAGGGCGAUGGAGGCAAUUCGACUGCUGCUAGCCGCCGCCUUUAUCGAACAGAUCCUGCUUCCUCCCAUGGUAGUCCCAAUGACCUGUGCGAUGGAGAGGCACACAAGUGCUGCGAUCCCCAACCCAAACGCGCUGCUCCUUGGCAGCGAACAGAGGCUUCCAUCCAGUCUCAUAUCCUUCACCUUGGGAGCACGGAAGGGUGGGGGAAAAGAAGAAAAGAGGACAGAUCAUUUGGUUGGUUAUAUAUCCAGAACACCGAAAAGCAUGGUGGAUGGUUUUAGCACGUAAGAGAUCUUACUUUCACUUUCUCGAAUUCAGCCGCGACGCAACACGAGAAGGCAACAACGCCCAGGAGCGCGACGAUGGUGCAGAUUACCAGCUCAUCGUACUUGGGUGUUUCCAUUGGAUCCCUAGAUAAUCCAUACAAGAUCAUCGGCGAGCGAGAGGUGUGUAGCCAAUGUGUUCUCAGCUACCCGGUGAAGAAGGGGAAUACCGCUUUAUUUUCCGCCCGUUGCUUCUGGUUUUCCUAUCGGAGAUGGCGAUCGAUGCCUUUCCCCACUUUCCAUUUCAUGAUUUGUGACAGAGGAAAUGGUCAACUCGUAAUUGCCGGCCUCCGGGUGAGGACGAGCGCGGACUUUGAAGUGGUUGGCCGUCUGCGGUGACCUUUCGAUUGUACUGGUCAAGUCAACUUGGGGAGAGAUGGAGGAGUUACGUGCAGGAUUCCGGAAAAGGGAACAAUCCGUUUAUAGGCCGAAAGAAUGGGCAUAUUUUACUUUGUGACUUCAGGCUCCUACUGAGGAAGCAGCUACUGGGCCAUCCGCUUCUGCUAUUACGACUAUGUUGACUGCCAUUUAUUUCUUAUGGUGUCCAAAGAUUAGUUCUCAAAGGGUUAGUAAGAUUGAACAACAAAUCAGCUUUUUACUGACCGUCUCAAAGAAUAAGAUCCGUAGCGAUGGAUUUCAACUCCUCUUUACCGAUCUUGCCUUCAAGUGCAGAUGCUUAUUUUGUUUUACGAAGCUGUUUGCAGAUUUGUGUUGAUGAAAGAACCAUACGAUUCUAUGAAGGAUUUGCUCAAGGAGAGACUUUUUGCUACGCAACGGGAAGGGAUUCACUUUAUUCAUUUGCUCCGUUGUUUCAAGAAUAAUAUUGCUUGGAAUUUCUUUAUUGUAACUAAAGACAUUUUUGUUCCUCUUGAAAUAUUGUGAUGUCUAUAGGGAGAGUAAUCGGUUAGUCAAUUAGUUGGCUAAUCGUAUCCGCUAAAACAGAAUCAUUGGUUGUCGGAGAAGGGACUGACCUUCUCAAUUUGCUCGUUUUGUUUACGCCCGUCUAAAUAGUAAUUUUAUUUUAGCAAAAAAGAAACUACUUUUAGUUUUCUAGUUACAAUAGUAGAGAUAUACUAAGAGAAUUAAAAGGAAAAAGAUACUAAAUAUAAAUAAUAAUAUAAGAUUGAAAAUAGAACAUUAAAGAAAAAAUAAAGUAAUUUAUUAUUCCUCCAAAUCUUUUAAUGCUAAUAAUAUAGCUAUGCUUGUACAAAAGUUUCUCAAAUGCUCAUCAUUGUGAAAGAACUUAGAUUUUAACAUAUCUAUUAAGAAGAUUCUUUCUUCAGAAUCAUUGGUAAAUGACUCUAAAUUUAUGAUGACAUUUGAUAGCACUUUAAAAUAAAAUUUAAAAAUGAAAGAAAAAUCGUCAUACCAAUCAAUAAUUCGAGACGCCCAAUGCCACUACUUGUCACAGAGCCCGUUAGUGGGACAAGAAAGCCACCAUCAAGGGCUGUGAUUUGAUCCGCCGGCAGCUUUGACCAGCUUUUUAUUACGGAAUAAAUUGUGUCAAGGAAUGAUUUUUCCCAGGUCGAUUGGGAUGUGAGGACGGCAUCACUCCUCCACCAUUAUUCAUAAAAUAAUUAAUAUCCUGAUGGUUUGAGAGCACCUGAAUUAUAGUAUUAAGACCUUGAUGAUACUAUGGAGAAGAAUGAAUUAAUAUAAUAAUAUUUUUAAUUAAUUUUAAAUUUUGAUCAAUAAAUCAUUAUAUUUCAAAUUUUUGAAUAAUCUAAUUAAAAUUUUAAGUAAAUAAAAUAUAAUUAGAUCACAAGUAAGUGGUAAGCAAGGAAAGCUAAGUCAAUUUAUAGUGUUUCGGUCUUUCCGAUUUAUGUCCACUCCCGAUUCUUUUUUUCUCGAGGUCAUCAGCUUUCACUAUCGAUCUUCUUUCUAAUGGGCGAAGAUCAACUAUCCUUUUUAUAACUCUCCGUUUUUUUAGUUUCACACUUUCUAUCACUUAGAAUUUUAAUUAAACUCAAUAAAAAGAGGAGACUCAAACUAUGCUCAAAAUUAGGGCCUACAAUACUUUACUAGCUCAAGAAUGAAUGUUCUAUCAGCCAAGCAUAACCGAGGUAUUUAUAGAUACUAAAAGAUUUCAAGAAUGAAGUUAAAAAUUUAAAUCUUCGAAAUUUUAGGGUAUAAGCGAUACUGCCGCCAACAUCGAGCAAUACUACCAUCAUAACUUUUGACAUGGACACAAUUCUGGGCUCUAUUAGUACACCACCAUAAUAUUUGAAUUUUUGACAAUACCAUAAGUAGUACUACCAUCGGAAAAACUAACAAUGCACAAAUAGUUCUUGUCGAUUGAAUUAGGUGAUACUGUCGCCUUGGCCUAGCGAUACCAUCGCCUAAGCCUAGUUUUGGCCAUCGAUUUAGCCUUUUAAUGGGCCUAAUUCGGUUUGACUUUAAGCCCAUUAACUUUCUUGACAAGUAAAUUUUAUUUUGACCCAAUAUUGGCUUAAAUUAAUCCAAAAUUAUCUUGAUUAAGACCUUGACAAAUUAACCAUACAUCUAGUAUAUUUACAAAGCUUUCAACAUGUUUUACGCUUUUUCGACAUAUCGUCUGACCUUCCAAUACUUCGUUUGAACUUCCAACACAUCGCUCUUUCCUUUAGUAUAUCACCUGUUCCACUAGCAUGAUGACUUUCCAAUGACAUCCAAUCUUCUGGCACAAUAUCUGAUCCUUCCGACAUGAUUCCCAAACUUUUAGCAUGAAGUUUGACCUUCGACACGUCAACCAAUCUUUUAGCUCAACGUCCAAUUUUUAACAUGAUAAUUUCUCGGUAUAACAUUCGUCUCUCUUACUCAAUAGUUGGCACUUUGAUGGUCUGAUUCUAUGAUCAAAAUAUUUUUCUAUAUCAUUUAUCUCAAAAGCAUAUAGUCUCAUAAAUUUAUUUCAUCAUCAAAAUCUAGGAUUUAACAAUCUCCCCCAUUAUGGUGAUGAUAAUCAAUUGAUGACGAAGUCUUAUCUAGGCUCCUCUUGUCUAUAUGUCAUCUUAAAAGUAUAAUGAACUUGAAUUCGAAAUAAUAAUCUUUUAGCAUUACUCUUGAAUUCAAGUUGAAAUAAUCUUAUUAUAAAUCUAAAUGAUUUUUAAUAGUAAUAAUUAUAAAAAUCAAAUGCAUAAUUUUAAUUAAAAAUAUCAUAAGUUAAAAACAUCAUAACUUAAUUUUUCCUAUUCAACUUUAAAAGGUAAAGAUAAGCAUAGAUACUACUUUAUCAAAAAGGUAAAGAUAGUUACUACUUUUCCUCUUUUGUCAUGAACCAAAAGGAGCAAUAUAUAAUCUACUCGGGUGGUGAUAAUCCAAAAUGUAUAAAUAAAGUAUAAAAGUGUGUAUCAAAAGUAUCAAGACCCUAAUGAAUAUGUUGCAUCUUAAUCAAGAUAUAGUCUUGACGAAGCUCAAAAUGAAUCAAUCGAACUAUUAUAUUAUUAGAAUAUAAAGAAGGUGUUAAAUCCACUAGAAGUUUCACCUGAAAGGGACUAGUAUGAGGUGUUGAAUCUUGGAUUUUGAUGAUGCAACCAAUUGAUAGUGUUUAUGAUCUAAUCUGUGUUUUGAGUAAUGCAGGACUAGUUUCAAUCAUGAAGUGACAAUUAGAGUAGGAAGAAUUAAUGUUGGGCCAGAGUGGAACAUGUCAGAAGAUUAGACGUCGAGCCAGAGGAUUGGUCGAUGUGUCGGUAGAAUGCUUCAUGCCAUAAGUUCGGGCAUCGGGCCUAGAAGAGCGGACAUUGCACCAAGGAGAUCAAAGUUGUGGAGGUCAACAUGCUGAUUGGGUAAAAGGCUGCAAAAGAGGACGAUGCAUAGAAGGAUUGGACAAAGUGCCAAUGAAUCAAUGACAUGCCAGACAACAUGUGAUUAAUGCUUUGUAAUAAUUGUCUAGAUCGAAGUAGUUUUAAGUUGUAAUGGGGUUAGAAUUAGGCUAACUCAAUUAGGGGCCCAUUGGGACUAAGUUAGGGCUAAGUUGGGCUGGAUGGUUGGCCCACUCGGCCACUUGGAGCCAUGCUAGAUGGUGGCACCGCCCAGGGUGGGCGGUGGAACUAUUUGAGGUUUAGCCUCCCAAGAGGUCUGGGUGGUUGUAUCGUUGACAUUUAAUGUUGCCAGGCAGUGAUACUGCCAAAGUCCGGUCUCUGAGGCUCUGUCAAGCGAUAGUACCGCUAGACUGAGCAGUGGCACCACCUAGUGUUAGAGUAUCAAGUGGUAGUACCACCCAGUACUGGUAGUGGUACUGCCAAUACCCGAAGACCCAAGAUGAGACUGGUUUUGACUCCAAGUUUGAAUCUAUUUAGGGCCUAUAAAUACCCCUCUCAUCCCUACUCAGCAAAGAUAAGAACCGAGAACAAAAACAAGGGAAAACUCUGUUGUAAUCUUGUGAGAAUUCUCCUCCUCUAAUCUAAGUAUUGAUUUUUGUUUAAAAGAGGAGUGACUAGAGGUGUAAAGAUUCUCUCCUGAGCCUAUCAAAAGGAGAAUAGAGUUGUAAGGGUGUUUGGUCCUUGCCCAUUGAAUGAAGAACAUUAGUGGAUGUCGGUGGUUUCGACGAAAGAGGAAUCGGUAGUGGUCACGGUGACCGAACUACUAUAAAUUGGUGUGCUUUCUUUCUUUGCUGCCAUUUACUUACUUUGUAAUUUCUUUACUUCCUCACUACUUUAGCUGCACACUCUUAUGAACGUUUUUAAAAUUAAAAUAUUUUUUUAUAUGUUUUUAUAGUACGAAGUUUCGAAUAUCGACGUAAUUUUACAUACGCACUAAUUACACCCCCUCUCUUAGUGUCAACUCGAUCCUAACAGUUGGUAUUAGAGCCACGUUUCUCUCUAUUUGAAUUAAUAUGAUAGAACUCCAGAGGAAUUCUAUGUAGAUUGAUCUUUGAGGGGGAUCAACCCUUGGAACACUUUAGGGGUUCCACACUCUUAGAAGUCGGACAAAUGGCUUCAAUUGUAGAUGAAUUUUAUUCCCAAAGAGAUAGAGGCUACAUGCUUAAAUAGGGCUCCAAACCCUAGCCCUAGGGGCUGCUUCCUAAGUUAGUUACCCCUUUUGCCCUCAACCCUAACCAACCAGCCUAGUAAAAGGGGGCGGUGGCUAGGAAGCCCAAAGGCCCAAAUAUAAACCCUAGCCACUCUUCUUUAUAGGAUAGAGGUGGCUAGGUGAGGUUUAUUACAAUCUCAUAGGGUUUUAUUAAUUGCUUCUUGGUUGAGUAGGACCCAACUCUACUAGUGUCCUAUCAAGCCCGCCCUCUCCAAAUCAGCAUUGUCCUCAAGGCUGAGGUUCCAUGAACUCAGAGAACCUGGUCUUUAGCUUCUCAUAUAAUUCUCAUGUGGUGUCUUCAAGUGGUAAAUUAUUCCAAUACACUAGUACUUCAGUAGAGGGAUGUUGGCGACGCAUCAUGAUCCUGCGGUCGAGGAUGACUUGUGGUUGGGCUUGAAUAACUCCGUCCUCAGUGGUGUUGGGCAAUUGGAUCUAGGGUGACUCGUGUUCUCCCAACUUAGGCUUCAGGUAUGACACGUGAAAGACAGGGUAAAUUUUGACAUACUCAAGCAAUUUAAGUCUGUAUGCCAUGGCUCCAAUAUAUUCUGUGAUCUGAUAAGGCCCAUAAAAAUGUGGGGAUAGCUUCAUGGAGGCUCGUGUGUUGAUGGAGAGUUGCUUGUGUGGCUAUAGGCGAAGAUAAACCUAAUCUCCUACUGAAAAUUCUCUUUCGCUUCAUCGUGGCGGCUUGCUACUUCAUUCUGACUUGAGCAGAAGAAAUAUUAUCCUUUAGCAGCUGUAGGAGUUUGUCCCUGUCAAUUAAAUCUUGGUCGACCUGAUCUGCCAUGGCCGAGCCAAUUACAUACUUUAGAAUCACAGGGGUCGGUCGAUCAUAUAGUGCUUCAUAUGGGGCAUAUUUUAUAGAUGAAUGAUAUGUCAUAUUAUACCACCAUUCGGCCUAGGGAAGCCAUUUCGCCCACUCUUUUGGCGGAUCACUGGUGAAACACUAAAGGUACAUCUCUAAACACCUGUUCACCACCUCUAUUUGGCCAUAAAUUUGUGGAUGAUAUGUUAUGCUCAUCUUGAGUUUAGUGCCCUAUAACUAAAAUAACUCAGUCCAAAAUUUACUAGUGAAGAUCCUAUCACGAUCACUUACAAUAGACCUUGGCAUCCCAACAUUUUCUAUAAAAAUCUGGGUAAUACUAGCAGUAGUGUAGGGAUUUCGCAUAGCACAAAAAUGAGCAUAUUUCGUAAAUCGAUCAACUACCACAAGAAUUGUGCUUUUACCUUUGGAAGGUGGCAGACCUUUGAUAAAGUCCAUAGAGAUGUCAGUCCACACCGAGUUCGGUAUGGGUAGUGGUUGUAGCCUCCCUGGACUUGCCACUGUUUCACCCUUGUGUUGUUGACAUACUUCACAUUGUGCCACAUAUUCAGAAAUAAUUUUUUUCAUCUCUCUCCAAUAAAAAUUUUGCUUCACUCUUUUGUAUGUUCUUAGAAAUCUGGAGUGCCCUGCUGAAAGUGUGAAGUGCAUUUCGUGUAGGAUGAUUUUGAUAUAAGGGAAGUCGGGUAUAAGCGCAAUGCGACCUUUGUAGCGUAGAUCCCUUGAAUCCCAAGUGUAGUGGGCUAUUGCGUUUGGAUCCUCCUCUAAUUUUUUUAUGAUGUUGCUGAUCUCUAGAUCCUUCUUCCAUUCCUCCCUAAUGUCCUCGAGGAAGCCGGUGAUAGGAAGGGAGAUGACUGAAAAUUUAGCUUGCUCAGGUAGCCGUGAGAGUGCAUCUACAACAACGUUUUCUUUCCCCUUUUUAUAAAUAAUUUCAUAAUCAAAUCCUAGAAGUUUGGUUACCCAUUUUUGCUGCUCAAGGGAUGAUAUCUUUUGCUCCAAAAUGUACUUAAAGUUUCUAUGAUCGAUUUUAAUUUGAAAUCAUCGACCGAUCAGGUAGGGUCUUCACCUCGUUACUGUGUGUAUAAUGGCGAGCAUCUCCUUAUCAUAUACUGACAUUAUUUUAUGGGAGGGAGAUAAUGCCUUAUUGGUGUAUGCGAGCGGUCGACCAUCUUGCAUGAGAAUGGCUCCAAUUCUGACUUCAGAUGUGUCAGCCUUAAUGAUGAAGGGUCGGCUAAAAUCUGGUAGCGCUAGCACUAGUGUCGUCGUCAUGGCUGCCUUAAGUUUUUCGAAGGCAGCAGAGGCUUUGUCCGACCAUUGGAAGACAUCUUUUUUCAGUAGAGAAGUGAGGGGUGCACUGAUCUUCCCAUAGUCCUUCACAAAUUUUCGGUAGUAGCCCGUUAGUCCAAGGAACCCGCGCAGUAAUUUCACAUUUGUAGGUUUCGACCAGCCUUGCAUUGCUUCAAUUUUGUUUGGGUCUACCGCCACUCCUGAUAUUAUAUGCCCAAGGCACUCUACUUUUUUCUACAGAAAGCUGCACUUUGGUUGCUUAACAAAAAAAGUAUUCUCCUGAAGGAUCGCCAAAACAACUCAUAAAUGUUGAAAGUGAGUCUCAAGAGAAGGGCUGUAAAUGAGAAUAUUAUCAAAAAAUACCAGCACAAAUUUACAAAGAAAGCUCCAAAAAAUAUCAUUCAUGAGACUUUGUAAGGUUGAAGGAGUAUUAGUGAGUCCAAAAGGCGUUACCAAGAAUUCAUAAUGGUCGUUAUGUGUGCGGAAUGUAGUUUUUGGAAUGUCGUCUUCACAUACUCGAUUUGGUGGUAACCAGAUUGGAGGUCCAACUUCGUGAAGACUCGAGCUCCUUUUAACGCAUCAAGAAGUUCAUCCACCACUGGUAUUGGGUAUUUGUCCUUAAUGGUGAUGCCAUUUAAAGCUCAGUAGUCGAUGCACAUUCGCCAAAUUUUGUCCUUCUUGCGUACAAGUAGCACAGGUGAGGAAUAGGGGCUGCAACUUAGCCGAAUCAUCCCUGUUUCAAGCAUCUCCUUUACAAUCUUUUCAAUUUCAUCCUAGCAUCAAAGGGGUCGCGCUAGGCAACUCUCGGUGCUGGCCUAUCAUGUAGGAUCGCCAGCCACUCGAGGACACCUAGACGUCCUAGCCCCCAUGGAGGAAAUUUACGACUAGGAAGAUCUCAGUCCACCUACCUGAUCAUCUUGAAUCGGGUCAUCACUAACAGAACGGCUUCCGACCAGGCCACCUAUACAGUCGCACCUCACCUAGUCUCUCACGUUAGCCAGGAAGAGGUACCUGGAUGAGCCUACACCAUCGGUAGUGGACCAACUUUGCCGACUCACCAAUCGACGGUACUCAUGACACUAUCAUUCUACGCUGAAAGGAGGGUUGAACGUUGCAGGUGCACUCUUCUAGCGCUCCUCCUAGUGAAUGUCUUAGACAAGGAGGGCCCCUCCUCCCUUUCCGAAGGUGUAGAGGUGAGCCUCCACACUUACCUUACUAGAAGCACCCCUCAACCUCGGCGUCAAGGGGCUAGGCAUAUGUGGCUCUGCACUUCUAUCACACCCUUAGCAACACCAUUUAAGCUAGUACCUAGCCUUCUUUGCUUGUAGGGGAGCCAAAGCCAGACCCUCGAUGACUCCCCAAGAGAUGCUCCAAAGAUAGUUGAGACUAAGGGGCCCCCACUCCAUAAAGUAGUAAGGUGAAGCGAGGAAAAAGAUUCCAAACAUCCCCGACUCUCACUCAAGAAUCAUUACAAGGAUGAACAGUACAUUCCGAAGAGGUUUUCAUUAAACUGGGCAAAAUGAGUUACAAAAGUGGAUGCCAUCCCGAACAGAAGGCUAUAAAACGGGAGCUAACAAAACCAAAAAGGAGGGUCACUAGGACCCAGUUGCAUCAGGCCGGAGGAGGCAGAUCCAGAGGAGAUGUCGGGCGAUCAUCAAAUGGAACCUCCAUGGUAGUAGGCACUUCGGUGUCUAAGGGAAGCUCCACAUAAGGAUCCUCGUCGACCUCGAGUUCAAGGGUACCUCACCUUGAAGCGGCUAGUGGCAAUUUGGUACUCGAACUCAUAUGCAGUCUCGCUCGAGCGCAGAAGGCUGUAUUAAAACCCCCCGGAUUCCUUAUAGGAGUCCACGACCCUCCACUUCUACUCAGAAGCUUGGUUCUUCUCCUCCUCUCAGGUCUCUUUUGCCUCCUCAACUACUAGACGGACAACCACCAACUCGUCAUGGUUGGUCAAUAAACGCUCUCUCAACUGCUUUCCCUCCUCGAUGGCCUCGCCCAACUAAUGAUGAGUAUCUCUCAAUUCUCGGUGCAGGACUUCAACCCACUCUUAGGCCUCUGCCACACUCUCUAUGUUCUCGUCUUCAGUGGAAAUCACCAUGUCUUGAGCCUCCUCCGCCCGUGCCUUGACUUCUUCGGCACAGCGGAUGACCAGACCUAUGUCCAAGGAUAGUUCAGAUGUCUCGACCUCCACCCUUCUACAUGCCUCUGUGAGGCACUCCUCUACCUCCUCAACUCGAAGGCGGGUCUGAGUUAGCUACGAGGAUAAUGGUUGGCAGCAUGCCCCAGCUAAAGAAACCAUGCCCCACAUUAAUGGUUGGUAGCAUGCCCCAGCUUCCCCAAUCGCCUCCUAGCCGACAUCUCAACAGAAGCCAUGCCUCCGCAUUAAUGACUGAUGGCAUGCCCCAGCUUCCCCAAUCGCCUCCGAGUUGACAUCUUAGCAGAAGCAAUGCCUCCGCAUUAAUGACUGACAGCAUCACCCGACUUCAUAUGCCUCUUCCCCUAUGGACAGCUGAUGGAGGGACCACUCCCUACGUAACCCAAAGCGACAAGGGAGUCAACCCAGAGGUGUCCCAAUGGUUUGCCCAAGGCGUUAGAGGACACACGCUAACAAGUCAGCCUCUUUAAUGCCUUCACCAUAUAGGAUAAAAUGAGCUUUGGCUAACAAACGUCGAGACUGCUCGGCACCCAGGUAUAAAAGCCAAGCCCCAAACUAAGACGAAAGGGGGCGAUCAAAAACCCUUUACUCUCAUUUACACUGCUCAUACUAUUUCUUGCCUCCCUCUCCAUUAUUCGCUAACUUAAGCAUCGGAGGGGUCGAGCCGAGACACCCCCGACGCAGGCCUGCUAUGUAAGGUCGUAGACGUAGCUCGGAGGCACGACCAGAACAUCUAGUCACUCCUUUGCCUCCGUAUUGUGGCGUGUCGCCUCAUCCUCGACAACCACCGAUGCAUCCCGAGCCUCAUCGAGCCUUCACUUGGCCCCCCUGGACCGUUGAUGAGUUAGCACUAGCUCCAAGAACAGCUCUACGGCCCGAACCUCAACAGCCCUGGACCCUAGUAUCCACCAUUUGCAAAAUGCCAUGGAAAGGAUGACACAACACACAACAGCAUCACCUACGACCAUUGACCAGACCCGCCAUAGCGGAUCCAUCCUCCCACCCAUGUAGUCGAGAUCAAGACCCGCUACGAUAAAAGCCACCUCAACGGAUCCAUCCUCCUGCUUAUGUGGUCGAGCCAAAACCCACAGCCGAUCCAUCCUCCCGUUUAUGCUAUCGAGCUAAAGCCCAUCACAGUGGGUUCAGCCUCCCACUUAUGCGGUCGAGCCAAAGCUCAUCGUAGUGGGUCCACUCUCUAGCUUACGCAGUCGAGCCAAAGCCCAUCGCAGUGGGUCUAACCUCUCGCUUACGUGAUCAAGCCAAAGCCCAUUACAGUGCAUCCAUCCUCCCGCUAUGACGAUCGAAUCAAGACCCGCUACGAUAGACUGACACCGACACUCCUGCUACGAUGGUUAUUCAAGACCUACUACGAUGGAAGCCGUCACAACAGACAGAUACCAAUACUCUUGCAACGACGAUCGAAUCAGGACCCGCUACGACGGAAGCCACCACGACAUAUUGAUACCGAUACUGCUAGUCAUAAGUGCCCUACAAGCCAAUCACGUGAGUGAUGGCACAUGUGACUUGACACAUAGUCUUUUUGCUUAUUAUAUUUUGGCAUUGAUCACUUUAUAUAUAUAUAUAUAUAUAUAUAUAUAUAUAUAUAUAUAUAUAUAUNNNNNNNNNNNNNNNNNNNNNNNNNNNNNNNNNNNNNNNNNNNNNNNNNNNNNNNNNNNNNNNNNNNNNNNNNNNNNNNNNNNNNNNNNNNNNNNNNNNNNNNNNNNNNNNNNNNNNNNNNNNNNNNNNNNNNNNNNNNNNNNNNNNNNNNNNNNNNNNNNNNNNNNNNNNNNNNNNNNNNNNNNNNNNNNNNNNNNNNNNNNNNNNNNNNNNNNNNNNNNNNNNNNNNNNNNNNNNNNNNNNNNNNNNNNNNNNNNNNNNNNNNNNNNNNNNNNNNNNNNNNNNNNNNNNNNNNNNNNNNNNNNNNNNNNNNNNNNNNNNNNNNNNNNNNNNNNNNNNNNNNNNNNNNNNNNNNNNNNNNNNNNNNNNNNNNNNNNNNNNNNNNNNNNNNNNNNNNNNNNNNNNNNNNNNNNNNNNNNNNNNNNNNNNNNNNNNNNNNNNNNNNNNNNNNNNNNNNNNNNNNNNNNNNNNNNNNNNNNNNNNNNNNNNNNNNNNNNNNNNNNNNNNNNNNNNNNNNNNNNNNNNNNNNNNNNNNNNNNNNNNNNNNNNNNNNNNNNNNNNNNNNNNNNNNNNNNNNNNNNNNNNNNNNNNNNNNNNNNNNNNNNNNNNNNNNNNNNNNNNNNNNNNNNNNNNNNNNNNAUAUAUAGUGUUGUCCUUGGAUCAGUUCAAUGGGAAUCAGAUCGUAAUGUAAUCACGAUAAUGAGAUCAAUUCACUUCUAAACACAGAUCCUAAAUAAUCCUGGUCAUAGGUUUACUCGAGAGGGAUAUCAAGAUAACCGGACAUAUUGGUGUGCUGUAUACCCGUCAAUAUGAUGGAUGCAACUGGUCUCAUAGCUGCUCUUGUGGGAACACUAGGGAUAUAGUACAGGUGCUCAUUGGAGAAUGAGUUCACUGAUUGAUCCGCUUCCGAAAUGUUGGAUGGUUGAUGAUGCCUUAUUGUCAUACAACGAUUCCGUAGUCCCAAUGACGUAUCUGAUCCUUAGACUUGAGACACCAAGGAUGUCUUGUAUUAGUACUCCACUCUUUGAUACUAGACUUAUAGGUUUGGAUGUCCUAGAUCUAGCAAAGUCGAUCAUCGGGAGUGACAAUCAACCGUACGAGCGCUAUUGAGUGUCGAUAGAAGAUCAUCCGCUCUCGGUAUCAUGAGAGAAAUAUCACAUAUGUUCUUGCUCAGACAAAUCCCUAGCCAGGGUCAUUCGGAUUAACAGAGAAAGAGUUCUCCGAGAGAAUCCGAUUAGAGCGAGACUCGAGUAGAAACCGUAUGGAUUUGACAACACCAUACCUGGAAUACGGUCUCUGGGAUAUUAUAUGGAUGAGGGACUAUAAAUAUACGGUAACUGAGGACUGACAGGUCCAAUGGAUUAAAUUCCCCUGUAUCGUUUGGGGACUGCAACGUAGUGGCCUAGUACGUCCGUAGUCGAUGAGUCGAGUGAGUUAUUAUGGAGAUAAUAAUUCACUGAGCCAGAAGGAGUUCGAAUAGGUAUGACUCAUGGCCAGCUCGAUAUUGGGCCUAAAGGAUUACACACAUAUGGUAAGCAUUACGAUUAGUAAAGGUUCGAAUAUGAAAUAUUCGUCGGAGCCCCUAUCUUAUUGGAUAUCCAAUAACCCCCUGAAUUAUUGGAUCACAUUAACGAGAUCCAAUAUGAGCCCAUAAGAGAUUAUUGGAUAGAGAUCUACUAAUAUAAGAUGCUUGGGUAGUUGGAUGGAGAUCCAAUACCCAAUAUGGGAGAAUCCAUUAGGGUUAAGUUUACUACGGAACUCUAUAAAUUGGAGGGAAUCAGUGGUUCAUAGGCUAGAGCCUUUUGCUUGCCUCUCUUAUUCUCCUCCCUCUCUACCAAAGAGGAGUGCACUUGACCUCAUUCACCCUCUCCUAGAAAUCUACAAGGAUUCAGGGAUAUACGAUCUCCCUAGAUAACACAAUUUAUCUUAUACGCAGUUUCUAGUUUUGCGGAUUUUUGCGUACUAAUCUUCGCACGACGACGAAUACAUCUUUAGGAAUUUGGGAUUUUGUUUUCUGUUCUUCCGUUGCACAUGUGAUGUCGCCCCCCAAGAUUUCCCAAUAGAUACUCCCGCUAUGACGAAUUGAUACCGAUCCUCCCGCUCAUACGAUCGAGCCAACACACUCACACCCUGUUGGUCGAGUACCUGCCCAAGAAGCAGAAGAAGGGGCAAGCCCAAAAGAAGACCCAACCUUCCGGACAGUAGGGGGAGGGAAAAAAACAGAGAGGCAAACCUCCCAAAGCAGAAGGGGGAGAUCAAAAAAUGAGAGAGAGUGAACUACCAUGCGAAAGGGGGAGAACAAAGACAGAGGGAAGGAAAAAAGAAAGGAUUCACUUAUGUCAACAUUCGUCAAUCCUACAUUUGCCCUAGCUGACAUCUCAACAGAAGCCAUGCCUCCGCAUUAAUGACUGGCAGCAUGCCCCCUGCUUCCCCAGUCGCCUACUGGCUGGCAUCUCAGAAGAAGCCAUGCCUCCGUAUUAAUGAUUGACAGCAUGGCCCGACUUCACCAGCCUUCCCCUUCGGAUGACUGAUGGAGGGCUCACUCCCUGCCUAACCUAAAGCAACAGGGGAGUUAGCCCAAAGGCAUCCCAACGGUCCGCACCAACAAGCCAUCCUUAUUAGUGCCUCCACCAUACAUAGUAAGGGAGGCCUUGGCUAACACGCGUCUAGACCGCUCAAUGAGUAGGUAUAAAAGCCAAGACCUAUACCUAGACAAAAUGAGGCAGGCAAAAACCAUCUAUUCUCUUAUUUACACUACUCUCACCAUUGUCUUCUUCCCUGUCCAUCUUUCGCUAACUUAAGCAUCGGAGGGGUCGACCUAAGACACCCUCGGCGCAAGCCUAUUAUGCAAGGUCGUCAGCAUAGCUCGGAGGCACGACUAGAAGGCAAGCCAACAGAAGGGACCUACACUUUGGACAUAUAACUAAUCGGGCCAACUCACUAGUCGACUGUCUCUGUGUGUUAACAAGAAAUAUCCAAAAGUUGAGUUUGUAACCUAUGACUUGCAAUUUUCUAAGAUGACAACAAGUUUAGUAAGAGAAACUAUGAUAUAUCCUAUUUUUGACCGCAUGGAAGUUCAAGAUAUUGAAUAAUUUUUGUUAAUUUACUUACCCGAUAUCGAGAUCUUGAAAAGUAAAGCACUUCUUGGAUGUUUAAAAUUUUUAAUACCCAAAAAUUCAUAACAUAAAUUGACAAAAAAGAGAUGUAUAAAUUGUCAACAGCAAAAAUUUCUCAGCUUCGUAAUGAACAUUUCCUAUAUUAAAUCUAAGUAUCGAAGCAACACAAUUCCACCCACAAGUUAUGUGGAAGUUCUCAUACCGAAGAGUGUCAGUGUGGAUGAAUCCGCAUGUAUCAUUUCUGCAAAUCAUUGCCACAGUCAUCCUCCAUCGAUAGAUAGUUUCAUCAUCUAUAUCCUUUUCUUCAUUCUCUUUUCAAAGGAAUCGAGUUGAUAUUUAAGACCUAAGACUCAGAAGGGCCAGCUAGUCACAAAUAAUGCACCAAAUCAGACAGCAAUACGAAUCCUAGCAAAGGAAUUUAAAUGAACCAGCCAAGUAGGUUAAAGCUCAAAAACCCUAAGGGAACCUUAAAACUCAGUGCCAAACUCUCGGCGGCGCAAUAAGCUGCUUGCUCGACAGAUUCUGAACCAAGCGAAGAGCCCACCACAUGAUAACGACAACAAAAGCGAAGAUUGAGGAAAGGAGAACAAGGGAGAAAGGAUACGGUGUCCGGGAAUGGCGAUCUCGAGUAUUGACGGCGAGGGGAUUAGCGUUGCAGAUGGACUCGACCGUGGUGAGGUCCCCGUUCCUCGCGGCGGCGUGGAGAUCGGAAGAUUCGCUGCCCCCCUUCGGUAAUCGGUUCUUCCUCCUCGAUGCCGCUCCGGGGUCUCCCAUCUCCGCGGGGUGUGCCGUCGUGGAGCUUCGAGCGACGAAGGCAGCGGUAAUACAUAGUUGAUUGAAGGCCGAGACCGUUAAGGCCCACAAAUGUGGAGACGUACUUCAAACGAAGAUACCUUGGAUCGUUAGAAUCGGACUAGGUUUCCGAGAGACAUUGGAUCGAGCUGGGGCUUAUCACCCGCAUCUUUCCUUCUUGGAUUAGGAUUAUAGCUCGAUUCGGAUAGGAUUCCGAAUCGAACUGGGGUUCGGACACUCUGCCUGUUAUAUAAGGACGUGACCUUUGGACUUGUCACGAAUCACUCCUCUCCGACGCUCUUCUUCGCUCCACACUGUUGUAUCGUCGCGUGGAAAGAUGUCUUCGCAACGAGGAGGAGGAGGAGGAGGGCGGCAAUAUUUGGUGGUGCGCUCGGUUUGGGCGUGGAACUUGGAGUACGAGUUCUCCAUCAUUGCUUCCCUCGUGGAUCGCUUCUCUUACGUCGCCUUCGACACGGAGUUUCCCGGCUUCCUCUACAGAACUCGGAGGCCACACCGUCUUCUCCCGCCCAGCCUGCGCUAUGCCCUCCUCAAGGCCAACGUCGACAAGAUGGAGCUCGUCCAACUCGGCCUCACCCUCUUCGACGCCUUCGGCGGCCUCCCCGACAUCGGCACCGGCGGCAGGGUCGGGUUCGUGUGGGAGUUCAACUUCCGGGAAUUCGAUGUCCGACGCGACCUCCACGCGCCGGACUCCGUCGACCUGCUCCGCUCCAGUGGCAUCGACUUCGACCGGCUCCCCCUCUACGGCAUUGACUCCGGCCAGUUCGCCGCCCACCUCUAUCGAUCCGGCCUCGUCGCUCAUUGCCGUUUCUGCCGCCCGCACUCCACUCGAUGGAUCGCCUUUCACAGCUGCUACGACUUCGCCUAUCUCAUCAAGGUGCUGGGGUUCGGCCGGCCUCUGCCCGACACCCUGGAAGAGUUCCUCGGCCUGGUGAACUUGCUCUUCGGAGAGACUGUGGAUCUCAAGCACAUUAUGCGCGGCUGCAAGGGUCUCUCCGGCGGGCUGGAGAGAGUGGCGAGUACCCUCGGGGUGCCACGCCAAGCUGGGAAGUCGCAUCAAGCUGGAUCAGAUAGCUUGGUGACCUGCCAAGUCUAUCUGAAGAUGAAGCGGAGGUUCUUCGACGACCAAGACGCCAAGGUGGCCUGCCAUCGCGGCAUCAUCUACGGCCUACAAGCCUGCUGAAUUCCUCCUUCGUUCUUGGAGUUUGUCAACGCAGCGCAGUGAAGGUCGUCGAUUCUCAAAGCAAGUCAACUCAAAUAUGAUCUUUCUCUUUUUCUUUGUGCACAAAUGUCGAAUGUUUCAACGUAAAUAAUAUACAAAUCAAGUCGUCUGUCAAAUUCGGAUGUGAAAAUUGAUUGCUGCUUGUGAUGUAUGGUAAGAAUCCGAAGAUUGUUGGAUAUGCACCACAUCGAUCUGUGCUCUGUUAUUUUCUGGCUCACAGUUCUUGGAUAAACUGAUAGCUUUCAAAUUGGGCAAACAACAUGAUAUGUUGAUGGCCGAAGAGAGGAAGUUCCCGUACAAGGGGGAGUCUGUACUUCUGCAGAUAGAUAAAGCAAGAUCAGAACAGAAACAAUGGAUCAUAAAAGGAGGGACGAAGAGAUGUUUCCUGAAGAUGACUCUUGCGAUGGUAAAACAUCAAGCUUAGCACUGACUUUGGAGUCACUUCUCCCAAUUGAUCACCGAAUUAUAAUUCACGAUCAUAAUUCGAUCGUAAUUGACUCAGAUCUACAGUUCAGAAAUAUGAAGCUUCAGCAAGGUGGGUGGAAGGCACCAUGGCCAUCAUGGUAGCCAAUCAAUCAUGUGAGGUUGCAAUCAAGGUUUAAAGAUGAUGAGCUAACUAACACUACUUCAAGUCAAAAAUUAAAAGGGUUAGAGAAAAGAUGAUGAGCUCUGGAACAGAGUAAUUAAUCCAUGUGAAGAGUCAUUUCCACACGCUGCCAAUUUUUUAUACAGAACUUAAAUUGAAGAUAUCAAAUUUACUCGUCGCCGAAAGUAUGUCGAGUUAGGUGCUCAUGAAUUCGAACACCAUCUUAACCUGCAAGACCUACGCAAACUGGGAAGAAGAGACCAUCGAUCCAUAGUGUGAAUGAGAAGUUCAUGAGAAAACUGAUUUGAAAAUGGGAGAACAUUUCCUUCACCAACUGCAAAAGCAUGCUUCAGAUAUAAUGACAGAAACAAAGAAUAAAGAUGUGCAACAUUUGCUAACAAAAAACACCUUAUAGAUCAACAGAUAAAGUCCCAGAAAACAACACAAAGUCACCAAUAAAAUGUUACAGCAUCAACACUAGAGCAGCCCUUAUACGAUUGUUGUCUUUCGUAUUUGCGUCCAAUUCUCCAUCCUCAUCUUGUACAUCAUUUUCAGCCAGAAGGUGAUCAAGGGAAACCUUAGACUUUUUAGGUUUUGAUGAGUCCUCAUCAGCAGCUGCUUCACCUCUUCUCUUUUCCUUAGUAUCCGUGCCUUCUUCAUCGACAUUACCCGACUCUU